RNAcentral lists this transfer RNA (67 nucleotides) under human gut metagenome. It matches the Rfam family "tRNA". From Rfam's summary of the family: Transfer RNA (tRNA) molecules are approximately 80 nucleotides in length. Their secondary structure includes four short double-helical elements and three loops (D, anti-codon, and T loops). Further hydrogen bonds mediate the characteristic L-shaped molecular structure. tRNAs have two regions of fundamental functional importance: the anti-codon, which is responsible for specific mRNA codon recognition, and the 3' end, to which the tRNAs corresponding amino acid is attached (by aminoacyl-tRNA synthetases). tRNAs cope with the degeneracy of the genetic code in two manners: having more than one tRNA (with a specific anti-codon) for a particular amino acid; and 'wobble' base-pairing, i.e. permitting non-standard base-pairing at the 3rd anti-codon position. The record is from RNAcentral. RNAcentral also lists the same sequence under 1 other name.
CGUAUAGCCCAGCUGGAUAGAGCGUUUGGCUACGAACCAAAAGGUCGGGGGUUCGAAUCCCUCUACG